Molecule: ribosomal RNA, 579 nt
Filed under: uncultured bacterium
Lineage: Bacteria
Description: partial 16S ribosomal RNA
Rfam family: Bacterial small subunit ribosomal RNA
Source: RNAcentral
UGGGGAAUUUUGGACAAUGGGCGAAAGCCUGAUCCAGCAAUGCCGCGUGUGUGAAGAAGGCCUUCGGGUUGUAAAGCACUUUUGUCCGGAAAGAAAUCCUUGGCUCUAAUACAGUCGGGGGAUGACGGUACCGGAAGAAUAAGCACCGGCUAACUACGUGCCAGCAGCCGCGGUAAUACGUAGGGUGCAAGCGUUAAUCGGAAUUACUGGGCGUAAAGCGUGCGCAGGCGGUUUGCUAAGACCGAUGUGAAAUCCCCGGGCUCAACCUGGGAACUGCAUUGGUGACUGGCAGGCUAGAGUAUGGCAGAGGGGGGUAGAAUUCCACGUGUAGCAGUGAAAUGCGUAGAGAUGUGGAGGAAUACCGAUGGCGAAGGCAGCCCCCUGGGCCAAUACUGACGCUCAUGCACGAAAGCGUGGGGAGCAAACAGGAUUAGAUACCCUGGUAGUCCACGCCCUAAACGAUGUCAACUAGUUGUUGGGGAUUCAUUUCCUUAGUAACGUAGCUAACGCGUGAAGUUGACCGCCUGGGGAGUACGGUCGCAAGAUUAAAACUCAAAUGAAUUGACGGGGGUCAUAGCU